RNAcentral lists this ribosomal RNA (301 nucleotides) under uncultured bacterium. Its description in RNAcentral is "partial 16S ribosomal RNA". It matches the Rfam family "Bacterial small subunit ribosomal RNA", at positions 509 to 807 of the family's 1533-position model. The record is from RNAcentral.
CAGUAGCCGCGGUAAUACGAAGGGGGCUAGCGUUGUUCGGAUUUACUGGGCGUAAAGCGCACGUAGGCGGACUUUUAAGUCAGGGGUGAAAUCCCGGGGCUCAACCCCGGAACUGCCUUUGAUACUGGAAGUCUUGAGUAUGGUAGAGGUGAGUGGAAUUCCGAGUAUAGAGGUGAAAUUCGUAGAUAUUCGGAGGAACACCAGUGGCGAAGGCGGCUCACUGGACCAUUACUGACGCUGAGGCGCGAAAGCGUGGGGAGCAAACAGGAUUAGAUACCCGCGUAGUCCCUGUCUCUUAUAC